Molecule: ribosomal RNA, 405 nt
Filed under: Triticum aestivum (bread wheat)
Lineage: Eukaryota; Viridiplantae; Streptophyta; Magnoliopsida; Poales; Poaceae
Description: partial small subunit ribosomal RNA
Source: RNAcentral
AUGGCAGCAGGUGGGGCUACCGCUGCUAGAGGCAGCUGUGUUUCUAAUGAAUCAGAUUGCCUUAAAUGGGGCCUGGGUCCCAAAAAAGUCUUUACAACUAAAUCGGUUUAUUCUUUCUUGGAAAGAAACAUCGCAGGAUGCAAUUUUGGGUGGAUUUGGAAAGCUGGCAUUCCAUUAAAGAUUAAGAUUUUUAUGUGGCAGCUAUUCCAGGAUGCUAUCCUUACUCGGGAGGUGAUGAAAAAGAGAGGGUGGAAAGGAAACCCGAAAUGUUCAUUCUGUGGAGAGAAUGAGACAUCUCAGCAUCUCUUCUUUACUUGUCCUAUUGCGAGGGUAACAUGGAGAAGUGUUGCCUGCAUGCUCGGCACUGAUUUGUGUCCGAAUAGUUUAUGGCAGGCUUACUCCUAG